This 379-nucleotide ribosomal RNA is filed under the name uncultured eukaryote. RNAcentral describes it as "partial 18S ribosomal RNA". It matches the Rfam family "Eukaryotic small subunit ribosomal RNA", at positions 592 to 975 of the family's 1831-position model. The record is from RNAcentral.
CAAUAGCGUAUAUUAAGGUUGUUGCGGUUAAAAAGCUCGUAGUUGGAUUUCUGCCGAGGACGACCGGUCCGCCCUCUGGGUGUGUAUCUGGUUUGGCCUGGGCAUCUUCUUGGAGAACGUAGCUGCACUUGACUGUGUGGUGCGGUGUCCAGGACUUUUACUUUGAGGAAAUUAGAGUGUUUCAAGCAGGCACACGCCUUGAAUACAUUAGCAUGGAAUAAUAAGAUAGGACCUCGGUUCUAUUUUGUUGGUUUCUAGAGCUGAGGUAAUGAUUAAUAGGGAUAGUUGGGGGCAUUCGUAUUUAACUGUCAGAGGUGAAAUACUUGGAUUUGUUAAAGACGGACUACUGCGAAAGCAUUUGCCAAGGAUGUUUNCAUUG